Adelges cooleyi (spruce gall adelgid) is the source of this 1941-nucleotide RNA transcript. RefSeq lists it as uncharacterized. NCBI's taxonomy places the organism in Eukaryota, Metazoa, Arthropoda, Insecta, Hemiptera, Adelgidae. The transcript has 6 exons. The record is from RefSeq and is a predicted model, not a curated record.
UAAUAAUAAUUGUCUUAGCUCUUAGCUGAUUUUAAUGAGUAUACAUCUUGAUUCUUGUUUGAACAUUAACGUCUAUUUAAUUUUAAUUUUAUAACAAUGUAGUAAUAUUGUUCACUAAACUUAUAAUUACAAAUACACUAAUCAUUUUACUUUAUUGUUCAGUGAAAUAAAUUAAUUUUACCAUGUACGAAUUGGUAACGCAAAUAUUAGAAUGCAUAGACUUUAUAUCGAACACCAUGAAGAACGAAUUAGCAGAAAUAUUUGAAACCUGGAAUCAAUGUUCAAGAGUGUUUGCUGGCGUCGUAGAAAAAAUUAAAGUUGCUCGGAGAGCACCGUUAGAUACAGACUUGUUAAAUGAAUUUCCAGACAUCAGGACAAAAGUUGCAACGAAACUUGUUGGAUUAGAAACAGAACAACUUGGUAUCUUGGAAAUAUGUUUGAAACGUUUUUCUCGUAUAAACGAGUGUCUAAAAAAUAAACUGGAUAGAAUCAACAAUAAACUUGAGAAAAUAUCAUUUAAAAAUCACAUGGAACUGAAGCAUACUAUACACGAACAUGCACUAUGGAUAGAAGAUUGCUGGUCAUGUUUUCACGUCUUCUAUAUGCAGUUACAAUUUGCAAUGAUGUCCUUAAAACCUUCGGAUGAAGAAUCUGCAGGAAAGUUAGUCGAAGCUAUAAUACAAAACGAGCAAGAUAAAUACACUAUUGGCAGAGCAAAAAUGUACUUGCACAGCUGGGACAGAUUGAUUUGACAUGGUUAAUAGUUAUUAGUAUCCCACGCUCUGGAAUAUAUUGUUUUAUUAGGACACGAAAAUUACAAUAGGAAACAUCAGUACAAAGUAUGAAACCAUACAGGCGGAAAUAGGGGAGACUUGUAUUUUUUGUAACACUUUAAAGAUAUUUGAUUAAAAAUAUUGUGGACUCAAAAAUACUGUCCAGAAAGGAGCAGAUGACGGAUUCUUUGAAUAAGUCAAAGCCAGAUUUAUAGUUUUAGUAAUACUAUUGUUUGUGAUAUUUAUUUUAAGACAGUAUCAAUAUAAAUAUUAUAACUACAUACAUAAAGUAUUGUAAAUAUAUACUGCUUUUCAUUGUAAUUAGUUUAAGGUUAUUGAUUCUAUUAUAAAGACCCGAUACAUUACAAAUAACAAAUUACAAUUUAUUGUAAUUAGGUACAAAUAAAUCGUGACUGAUUGAAAUAAUAUUUUGACUACACUUGAUAGUGGACUUCUUAAGGGGGCUCCAUACAGACCACUUUUAAGGAAUUUUUGUAAUGGCAAUAUUUAAGAAAAAAAUUAUUUAAUUUAAUUUCGACCAUGUCAAUUAAUUUACCGGUUAAUUUGUAUAAGCUUUAUGGAAUUAUUUUUAAUUAAAAUAAUUUUGUCUAUGAAUAAAAGCCAUUUUAGUUAAUAUAAUAGUACAUUUUUUGUCCAUCGCACAGGCCGAACCAGUAAUCCGAUGAGUAAUCUGAAAACAGAUUUGAAUUUGUCAUGAACUUUACUUGAGAUCAGCCGAGGUACUUUUUUGAUAUCAAAUUCCUACAACGUAUAAAACACGUUUGAAUAUUUUUGUUAAAUUUCAAAUUGGGAAAGGGUUAAAAUGAAAAAUUGAAAAAAGUUCCUCGGCCGAUCUCAAGUAAACUUUAUGGCAAAUUCAAAUCUGUUUUUAGAUUGCUUAUCGGAUCACUGGUUCGGCCUGUGCGAUGGACAAAAAAUGAUGUGUUUUGACUGAAAAAAGGUCUGUAUGGAGCCCCCUUAAAAUCAAAUUUUUAAAAAACAAAAAAAGAUAUUACCAUUUUUAUUUUUUAUAGUGAUCAAUUUAAAUUAAUUAAAUUGUUUAAAAUGAAAUAUAAAAUAUUCCAUGAGAAAUUUAGUUUUAAAAACAAAACUAAAAUAAUACAUUUUAACUAUUUUUAACAAACUAUGCUACUUUAAUGUUUUUUUU